CCUACGGGAGGCAGCAGUGGGGAAUAUUGGGCAAUGGGCGCAAGCCUGACCCAGCAACGCCGCGUGAGGGAGGAAGGCUUUCGGGGUGUAAACUUCUUUUGUCAGGGACGAAGCAAGUGGCGGUACCUGACGGUUAAGCCACGCCUAACUACGUGCCCGCAGCCGCGGUAAUACGUAGGUGGCAAGCGUUAUCCGGAUUUAUUGGGUGUAAAGGGCGUGGAGGCGGGAAUGUAAGUCAGAUGUGAAAACUAUGGGCUCAACCCAUAGCCUGCAUUUGAAACUGUAGUUCUUGAGUGCGGGAGAGGCAAUCGGAAUUCCGUGUGUAGCGGUGAAAUGCGUAGAUAUACGGAGGAACACCAGUGGCGAAGGCGGAUUGCUGGACAGUAACUGACGCUGAGGCGCGAAAGCGUGGGGAGCAAACAGGAUUAGAUACCCCAGUAGUC
RNAcentral lists this ribosomal RNA (443 nucleotides) under uncultured bacterium. RNAcentral's name for it is "partial 16S ribosomal RNA". It matches the Rfam family "Bacterial small subunit ribosomal RNA", at positions 338 to 795 of the family's 1533-position model. The record is from RNAcentral.